GUCCAGGAGGUUCAGAGUUCCCAUCAGAGAUCCCAUUGGUAACUAGAUUAGCUAGGAGAGUCCCCGGGAGCUGGGAUUGAGCUGCAGCCUUCAGAUGGACAAAUCCUGGCAAUGACCCUGUGGGCAUUACAAGGACCAGUACCGGCCUGUGGGCUGCACACAGAUGCUCGGGAGCCUUGUGAUUGGCCAGCGGGGCUGCUGAGGGUGAAGGCAGCAGCUGCCCGUCGUGACAAAGGGCCCGGAGCUGGAGGAACAGAGGACCUGGGUCCCCUUCCUAGCCCCCUGAUGUGGAUUCCCAUUCUUUGGGGAAGACUCCAACCCUGUUCCUUACCUGCUUUCUGGAAUUGCCAGCAUUUACCAAAUUCAGACUUCCAGACUCAUGCUAUCUCCCUCCCUGCCAAAGAGAUGGGCCUCAACACGCUUCCUGAGGCACUGGACAAGGACACCGGUGAAGAAUGACAGUCAUUCAACUGGAGAAUUAAU
Molecule: long non-coding RNA, 483 nt
Organism: Dromiciops gliroides (monito del monte)
Lineage: Eukaryota; Metazoa; Chordata; Mammalia; Microbiotheria; Microbiotheriidae
Exons: 3
Source: RefSeq, a predicted model, not a curated record